This 84-nucleotide transfer RNA is filed under the name Acropora cervicornis. RNAcentral describes it as "tRNA-Ala". Lineage: Eukaryota; Metazoa; Cnidaria; Anthozoa; Scleractinia; Acroporidae. The record is from RNAcentral.
GGGCUCAUGAGCUAACCCUAACCCUGGUUAGAGCACUGCACCGGCAUCGCAGAGGUCAUGGGUUCGAACCCCGUUGAGUCACCU